Pelobates cultripes (western spadefoot toad) is the source of this 384-nucleotide non-coding RNA. NCBI's taxonomy places the organism in Eukaryota, Metazoa, Chordata, Amphibia, Anura, Pelobatidae. The record is from the annotation of a GenBank genome assembly.
CAUACACCUUGACCUGAUUAAUUCCAACUUGUGGACAAGGUUAAAAGGUAAUCCUUGUGGAUACCAACACAAGAAAAAUGCCCUGCAAUCAGGACAAAUACUACCAUAUGCGGUAAAUAUCCAAGUACCUGAUGACAUAACCAUUCCACAAGGGACAAGUAACUUUCUUUUACCCCUACAGGUCAAGAAGGGUCAGAGAUUGGAAAACUCUGACGCCCUAAUCUGUUUAUCCAAUAGGAUACAACAAUUAGGGACAGUGGUAACAUAUACACCAAUGGUAAGUAUUGGUAAGAAUCCCACCUAUGUAAUCGUAUGUGCUAGUGAAAAUUUUCGGUUCGGUUCGGCAUUCCGAAAUUCGGGACUUUCGCAAUUCGGGACUUCGGC